RNAcentral lists this RNase P RNA (369 nucleotides) under Fidelibacterota bacterium. Its description in RNAcentral is "RNase P RNA component class A". It matches the Rfam family "Bacterial RNase P class A". Rfam says of the family: Ribonuclease P (RNase P) is a ubiquitous endoribonuclease, found in archaea, bacteria and eukarya as well as chloroplasts and mitochondria. Its best characterised activity is the generation of mature 5'-ends of tRNAs by cleaving the 5'-leader elements of precursor-tRNAs. The record is from RNAcentral. Lineage: Bacteria; Pseudomonadati; Fidelibacterota.
UGAGUUGGUCGGAUGAUUGCCCUAAUAACAUUGUUAUUUGGGAGGAAAGUCCGGGCACUGCAGGAUAGGGUGCCCCAUAACGCGGGGAAUCCGUGAGGAUAUGGAAAGUGCAGCAGAAAGUAAACCGCUUUGAACUAGUUUUGAAGUAAGGGUGAAAGGGUGGUGUAAGAGACCACCAGUUUUUGUGGCGACAUAGAAAGCUUGUAAACCCCACCCAGUGCAAGACCGAAUAGGCUCUAAGACGUUAUCCGCGUUGUUUGAGGAGCGGGUAGGUUGCUCGAGGCGGUUGGCAAUAAUCGUCCCAGACGAAUGAUCAUCAAACUCAUUUAUAUGAGUGAACAGGACUCGGCUUAUAGACCGACUCAAUUC